Molecule: ribosomal RNA, 255 nt
Filed under: uncultured bacterium
Lineage: Bacteria
Description: partial 16S ribosomal RNA
Rfam family: Bacterial small subunit ribosomal RNA
Source: RNAcentral
UACGUAGGGUGCAAGCGUUGUCCGGAAUUAUUGGGCGUAAAGAGCUCGUAGGCGGCUUGUCGCGUCGUCCGUGAAAACCUGCAGCUCAACUGCAGGCUUGCGGUCGAUACGGGCAGGCUAGAGUUCGGUAGGGGAGACUGGAAUUCCUGGUGUAGCGGUGAAAUGCGCAGAUAUCCGGAGGAAUACCAAAGGCGAAGGCAGUGUCCUGGCUGGCAUCUGACGCUGAGGCGCGAAAGCUAGGGGGAGCGAACAGGA